RNAcentral lists this ribosomal RNA (484 nucleotides) under uncultured bacterium. Its description in RNAcentral is "partial 16S ribosomal RNA". It matches the Rfam family "Bacterial small subunit ribosomal RNA", at positions 30 to 507 of the family's 1533-position model. The record is from RNAcentral.
AUUGAACGCUGGCGGCAGGCCUAACACAUGCAAGUCGAGCGGAUGAAGGGAGCUUGCUCCUGGAUUCAGCGGCGGACGGGUGAGUAAUGCCUAGGAAUCUGCCUGGUAGUGGGGGAUAACGUCCGGAAACGGGCGCUAAUACCGCAUACGUCCUGAGGGUGAAAGUGGGGGAUCUUCGGACCUCACGCUAUCAGAUGAGCCUAGGUCGGAUUAGCUAGUUGGUGGGGUAAAGGCCUACCAAGGCGACGAUCCGUAACUGGUCUGAGAGGAUGAUCAGUCACACUGGAACUGAGACACGGUCCAGACUCCUACGGGAGGCAGCAGUGGGGAAUAUUGGACAAUGGGCGAAAGCCUGAUCCAGCCAUGCCGCGUGUGUGAAGAAGGUCUUCGGAUUGUAAAGCACUUUGAGUUGGGAAGAAGGACAGUAAGUUAAUACCUUGCUGUUUUGACGUUACCAACAGAAUAAGCACCGGCUAACUUCGUG